This 117-nucleotide ribosomal RNA is filed under the name Candidatus Carbonibacillus altaicus. The record is from RNAcentral. Lineage: Bacteria; Bacillati; Bacillota; Bacilli; Thermicanales; Thermicanaceae.
UCUGGUGGCGAAGGCGGUGUGGACCCACCCGUACCCAUACCGAACACGGAAGUUAAGCACACCAGCGCCGAAGGUACUUGGGGGGCGACCCCCUGGGAGAUGAGGUCGCUGCCAGGU